RNAcentral lists this transfer RNA (73 nucleotides) under Bacteroidota bacterium. RNAcentral's name for it is "tRNA-Val(tac)". It matches the Rfam family "tRNA". Rfam says of the family: Transfer RNA (tRNA) molecules are approximately 80 nucleotides in length. Their secondary structure includes four short double-helical elements and three loops (D, anti-codon, and T loops). Further hydrogen bonds mediate the characteristic L-shaped molecular structure. tRNAs have two regions of fundamental functional importance: the anti-codon, which is responsible for specific mRNA codon recognition, and the 3' end, to which the tRNAs corresponding amino acid is attached (by aminoacyl-tRNA synthetases). tRNAs cope with the degeneracy of the genetic code in two manners: having more than one tRNA (with a specific anti-codon) for a particular amino acid; and 'wobble' base-pairing, i.e. permitting non-standard base-pairing at the 3rd anti-codon position. The record is from RNAcentral. Lineage: Bacteria; Pseudomonadati; Bacteroidota.
GGGGCUAUAGCUCAGUUGGUAGAGCGCUUCGUUUACACCGAAGAUGUCAGCGGUUCGAGUCCGUUUAGCCCCA